CAUGCAAGUCGAGGGGUAACAGGGAGCUUGCUCCGCUGACGACCGGCGCACGGGUGCGCACCGCGUAUGGAACCUACCUUGUACAGGGGAAUAGCCCAGGGAAACUUGGAUUAAUGCCCCGUGGUACCAUGACCCGGCAUCGGGAUAUGGUUAAAGCCUUCGGGCGGUACAAGAUGGCCAUGCGUCCCAUUAGUUUGUUGGUAAGGUAACGGCUUACCAAGACUACGAUGGGUAGGGGCCCUGAGAGGGGGAUCCCCCACACUGGUACUGAGACACGGACCAGACUCCUACGGGAGGCAGCAGUGAGGAAUAUUGGACAAUGGAGGAGACUCUGAUCCAGCCAUGCCGCGUGCAGGAAGAAUGCCCUAUGGGUAGUAAACUGCUUUUAUACGGGAAGAAAAAGAGCUACGUGUAGCUUACUGACGGUACCGUAAGAAUAAGGACCGGCUAACUCCGUGCCAGCAGCCGCGGUAAUACGGAGGGUCCGAGCGUUAUCCGGAAUUAUUGGGUUUAAAGGGUCCGUAGGCGGGCCGAUAAGUCAGGGGUGAAAGUCUGCCGCUCAACGGUAGAACUGCCUUUGAUACUGUCGGUCUUGAGUUAUAGUGAAGUUGCCGGAAUAUGUAGUGUAGCGGUGAAAUGCAUAGAUAUUACAUAGAACACCGAUUGCGAAGGCAGGUGACUAACUAUAUACUGACGCUGAUGGACGAAAGCGUGGGGAGCGAACAGGAUUAGAUACCCUGGUAGUCCACGCCGUAAACGAUGGAUACUAGCUGUCCGGAACCUUGAGUUCUGGGCGGCCAAGCGAAAGUGAUAAGUAUCCCACCUGGGGAGUACGUUCGCAAGAAUGAAACUCAAAGGAAUUGACGGGGGCCCGCACAAGCGGUGGAGCAUGUGGUUUAAUUCGAUGAUACGCGAGGAACCUUACCAGGGCUUAAAUGCAUAUUGACAGGUCUAGAGAUAGAUUUUCCUUCGGGCAAUUUGCAAGGUGCUGCAUGGUUGUCGUCAGCUCGUGCCGUGAGGUGUCAGGUUAAGUCCUAUAACGAGCGCA
Molecule: ribosomal RNA, 1048 nt
Filed under: Maribacter sp.
Lineage: Bacteria; Pseudomonadati; Bacteroidota; Flavobacteriia; Flavobacteriales; Flavobacteriaceae
Description: bacterial SSU rRNA
Rfam family: Bacterial small subunit ribosomal RNA
Source: RNAcentral